This 468-nucleotide ribosomal RNA is filed under the name uncultured bacterium. RNAcentral describes it as "partial 16S ribosomal RNA". It matches the Rfam family "Bacterial small subunit ribosomal RNA", at positions 28 to 507 of the family's 1533-position model. The record is from RNAcentral.
GACGAACGCUGGCGGCGUGCUUAACACAUGCAAGUCGAACGGAAAGGCCCUGCUUUUGUGGGGUGCUCGAGUGGCGAACGGGUGAGUAACACGUGAGUAACCUGCCCUUGACUUUGGGAUAACUUCAGGAAACUGGGGCUAAUACCGGAUAGGAGCUCCUGCCGCAUGGUGGGGGUUGGAAAGUUUCGGCGGUUGGGGAUGGACUCGCGGCUUAUCAGCUUGUUGGUGGGGUAGUGGCUUACCAAGGCUUUGACGGGUAGCCGGCCUGAGAGGGUGACCGGCCACAUUGGGACUGAGAUACGGCCCAGACUCCUACGGGAGGCAGCAGUGGAGAAUAUUGCACAAUGGGCGGAAGCCUGAUGCAGCAACGCCGCGUGCGGGAUGACGGCCUUCGGGUUGUAAACCGCUUUCGCCUGUGACGAAGCGUGAGUGACGGUAAUGGGUAAAGAAGCACCGGCUAACUACGUG